UGGGGAAUAUUGGACAAUGGGCGCAAGCCUGAUCCAGCCAUGCCGCGUGAGUGAUGAAGGCCCUAGGGUUGUAAAGCUCUUUCACCGGUGAAGAUAAUGACGGUAACCGGAGAAGAAGCCCCGGCUAACUUCGUGCCACCAGCCGCGGUAAUACGAAGGGGGCUAGCGUUGUUCGGAUUUACUGGGCGUAAAGCGCACGUAGGCGGACUUUUAAGUCAGGGGUGAAAUCCCGGGGCUCAACCCCGGAACUGCCUUUGAUACUGGAAGUCUUGAGUAUGGUAGAGGUGAGUGGAAUUCCGAGUGUAGAGGUGAAAUUCGUAGAUAUUCGGAGGAACACCAGUGGCGAAGGCGGCUCACUGGACCAUUACUGACGCUGAGGUGCGAAAGCGUGGGGAGCAAACAGG
This 404-nucleotide ribosomal RNA is filed under the name Actinomycetes bacterium. Its description in RNAcentral is "Actinobacteria bacterium partial 16S ribosomal RNA". It matches the Rfam family "Bacterial small subunit ribosomal RNA", at positions 355 to 776 of the family's 1533-position model. The record is from RNAcentral. Lineage: Bacteria; Bacillati; Actinomycetota; Actinomycetes.